UAAAGAAGGCAUGUCUUUCUAGAGCCUGGAACAAAGGCGCACGCCUAGGUGCAUAAGGCGCUAGGAUUACAGCAUAGUAACCAUUGAACUUGAGGUGUGCCUUUAAUAACAAUGCAUAUCAAAAAGCAUUCAAUUAGGACUUGAGAGAAGCAUCUAAUAUUUAAAUCUAUUUGUUAUUUGGUCCUUAUAUUCAAAAGAAAAAUCAUCCCAUUCUUUGGAGGAGAGGAAUAGAAGUAAGCAAUAAUUAGUUAUAACUUAUCAACCAAACAGAACCAUUUAAAUUAAAUUUUUUGGUUUGGUUUUUAAAAAUUCGGUUAGGUUUUAAUUAGUAAAUAUUCAAAAGUUAGUUUUUAAGUUAUUUAAUUUAGUAAAAAUUCAAAUUACCCGAAUUGAACCAUUUUAUCCUCUGCAUAAUACACUAACAUUUUAACCCUAGGUAUACAAGCAAACUUUUCCUCUUCUCACCUCACUGUCCCUUCCCCUUUCUCUGUCUCACUCUCACGUAACCACCCACGAUUUGCUCUCAAUUCUGCUUUCCUUUCCUUUCUUCAUUCUUGCUCGCCCUAUCCUCUCUCCACUCAUAUACCGUCAUAAUCCACCCAGCCAGUCUCUCCUAAACUUGCAUCCUCUCAUCUCAUCUAGGUCUUGGACUUUAUUUAAAUGGGAAGUGCUAGUCCAUACAUCCAUUGAGUGAUUUGAAGAACAAGUCAGUGACUACCGGAAAUCCCACAGUUGCAAAGUGGAGUCACCAUUGUUGUCGUUGUUGUGCUUCCUUCACCUAUUUAAUUUAAUGGGUAUUUUGUACAUUAUUGAAUUGCAUGCAGGGUUCUUGAUUUCUUGUGUUUAGUUUUUGGUUUUUUUUAUUUGAAUGGGAUAUUUGAAUUGCAUACAAAUUUGUACACACAUGACAGAUUUGAGUUUACAGAUCUCUAUGUACAGAUAUUUGACAUAGAUUUGAGCGUUAACUUCUUUGAGUGAGGCUAUUUCAUCUAUUAAUUAAGGAUUAAUUUAUGAUUAAUUUGUUUAAUUUAUAUUUUUGUAUUUUGUUUAAUUGUUGUAUUUUCGAUGUUUGUGUUUUGAGCAUGUUGUUGAGGAUGAGGACUUGAGGUUGAGGUCUCUAUCUAUAGCACUCUACUGGAUUAGAACCUUUCAUCUUUCUCAUCAGAACCAAUCCAAACCAUAACAAUGCAGUUCAGUUCAAUUUGAUUUCUCUAUCAAUACGGUUCGGUUUGGUUCAAGAAUAAAUUGACCAAAUGGUCACCCUUAAAGAGGGAAGGAGGGCGACAAAGUUGGCUAAAACUGAAUAUUCUUAUAUUACAAACUCAAUCUACAAAAUCAAAUGCCUCUCAGAUAAUCCAAAUUUUCAUCGAAAGACAGGUUAUAAAAGGCACAAAAACUUGUAAAUGCUGAUGAAGGAA
RNAcentral lists this unclassified non-coding RNA (1418 nucleotides) under Hevea brasiliensis (rubber tree). Lineage: Eukaryota; Viridiplantae; Streptophyta; Magnoliopsida; Malpighiales; Euphorbiaceae. The record is from RNAcentral.